Molecule: ribosomal RNA, 975 nt
Filed under: Bacillus safensis subsp. safensis
Lineage: Bacteria; Bacillati; Bacillota; Bacilli; Caryophanales; Bacillaceae
Description: bacterial SSU rRNA
Rfam family: Bacterial small subunit ribosomal RNA
Source: RNAcentral
ACGGGAGGCAGCAGUAGGGAAUCUUCCGCAAUGGACGAAAGUCUGACGGAGCAACGCCGCGUGAGUGAUGAAGGUUUUCGGAUCGUAAAGCUCUGUUGUUAGGGAAGAACAAGUGCGAGAGUAACUGCUCGCACCUUGACGGUACCUAACCAGAAAGCCACGGCUAACUACGUGCCAGCAGCCGCGGUAAUACGUAGGUGGCAAGCGUUGUCCGGAAUUAUUGGGCGUAAAGGGCUCGCAGGCGGUUUCUUAAGUCUGAUGUGAAAGCCCCCGGCUCAACCGGGGAGGGUCAUUGGAAACUGGGAAACUUGAGUGCAGAAGAGGAGAGUGGAAUUCCACGUGUAGCGGUGAAAUGCGUAGAGAUGUGGAGGAACACCAGUGGCGAGGCGACUCUCUGGUCUGUAACUGACGCUGAGGAGCGAAAGCGUGGGGAGCGAACAGGAUUAGAUACCCUGGUAGUCCACGCCGUAAACGAUGAGUGCUAAGUGUUAGGGGGUUUCCGCCCCUUAGUGCUGCAGCUAACGCAUAAGCACUCCGCCUGGGGAGUACGGUCGCAAGACUGAAACUCAAAGGAAUUGACGGGGGCCCGCACAAGCGGUGGAGCAUGUGGUUUAAUUCGAAGCAACGCGAAGAACCUUACCAGGUCUUGACAUCCUCUGACAACCCUAGAGAUAGGGCUUUCCCUUCGGGGACAGAGUGACAGGUGGUGCAUGGUUGUCGUCAGCUCGUGUCGUGAGAUGUUGGGUUAAGUCCCGCAACGAGCGCAACCCUUGAUCUUAGUUGCCAGCAUUAGUUGGGCACUCUAAGGUGACUGCCGGUGACAAACCGGAGGAAGGUGGGGAUGACGUCAAAUCAUCAUGCCCCUUAUGACCUGGGCUACACACGUGCUACAAUGGACAGAACAAAGGGCUGCAGACCGCAAGGUUUAGCCAAUCCCAUAAAUCUGUUCUCAGUUCGGAUCGCAGUCUGCAACUC